CACAGCACAUCUUAUUCCUCAUUUUCUGGCAGUUUGACAUCCCACUUUGUCCAAAAUUUUCUCCUCUUCCAUACCUAUCUCAAAAUAUAAAAAUAAAAUCUAUUUAAUUUUCAAGAACCCCUUUUUCUUCUUGCCUAAUUAACAAAACAAUCAUGGAAGAUUACAGAUCAAAAUCAUAUGCUGAUGGUAGGAUGCAGAUGGAUAAAUAUUAUGAACCCCAAUUUUCUAAUGAUUUCAGGUCUUACAGUGUUUCAUAUGCAACUGCACCACCCCUCCCACUACCUCCAGCCCAACAGAGCAAAAAUUGGAAGCUGAAGAAAGGGAAGAGCACUAGUGGAUCAACAUCAAAAUCUUGGAACUUCAAUGAUCCUGAGUUCCAGAGGAAGAGGAGGGUUGCUAGUUAUAAAGUUUACUCUGUUGAAGGAAAGGUUAAAGGGUCUCUCAGGAGAAGUUUAAGAUGGUUUAAAGACAAUUAUACACAGGUUCUCUAUGGAUGGAGGUGAUUCAUCAAGAUUUGGCCUUCUUAUGCUUGUUUUGAUUCAUCAAAAUGUUAUAUUUUGUUGCCAAGAGGGCAUUUCCGUUUAAUUUAUAGUUUGUUAUGGAAGAAGGUGUUAAGGUAAGUUGUUGGGUAGAAACGCAGAGAAACAGGUAGAUGGGGAGAAUACGAAGUAGUCUGAACAGGCACAAUGUUCCAUCGUCCACUAUGUCAGAUGUUGCAGAAGAGUUGUCUUAGCUAUUUUUGUUCUUUUGAAGAGUCGUUGUAGGAAGUGCAACUAGCGGAGCAUUUAGGUUCACUAUGUGGGCUAGACGUAGUUUUGAAAUGGGCAAUUUACA
RNA transcript from Solanum dulcamara, 834 nucleotides. RefSeq lists it as uncharacterized. Lineage: Eukaryota; Viridiplantae; Streptophyta; Magnoliopsida; Solanales; Solanaceae. The record is from RefSeq and is a predicted model, not a curated record. The transcript has 2 exons.